This 393-nucleotide unclassified non-coding RNA is filed under the name soil metagenome. RNAcentral describes it as "partial contains 5.8S ribosomal RNA, internal transcribed spacer 2, and large subunit ribosomal RNA". The stretch from base 1 to 122 matches the Rfam family "5.8S ribosomal RNA", at positions 35 to 154 of the family's 154-position model. The record is from RNAcentral.
GAUGAAGAACGUAGCGAAAUGCGAUACUUGGUGUGAAUUGCAGAAUCCCGUGAACCAUCGAGUCUUUGAACGCAAGUUGCGCCCGAAGCCACUAGGCCGAGGGCACGCCUGCCUGGGCGUCACACGUCGUUGCCCCCCCCCCAUCUACUCCUUCGGGAUUGCGGGGGGCGGGUGAUGGCCUCCCGUGCGCCUGGCCGCGCGGUUGGCAUAAAUACCAAGUCCUCGGCGACGCACGCCACGACAAUCGGUGGUUGCGAAACCUCGGUUGCCCGUCGUGUGCGUUCGUCGCGCAUCGAGGGCUCGAAAAAAUGCUCGGCUCCGGCUCGGCUUUCAACGCGACCCCAGGUCAGGCGGGGUUACCCGCUGAAUUUAAGCAUAUCAAUAAGCGGAGGA